RNAcentral lists this microRNA precursor (140 nucleotides) under Marmota monax (woodchuck). The record is from RNAcentral. Lineage: Eukaryota; Metazoa; Chordata; Mammalia; Rodentia; Sciuridae.
UCCCCCCUCCCCACCUCUCCCCUCCCCUCCCCUCCUCUCUCUCUACCCCCUCCACUGUAUAACCCUGAGGGUCUCCUUCCAUUACCGUGGAGGGGGUAGAGAGAGAGGAGGGGAGGGGAGGGGAGAGGUGNCCAAGUAUU